RNAcentral lists this small RNA (125 nucleotides) under Marmota monax (woodchuck). The record is from RNAcentral. Lineage: Eukaryota; Metazoa; Chordata; Mammalia; Rodentia; Sciuridae.
GCUGGUCGUGGUGGCGCACACCUGUAAUCUCAGUGGCUCUGGAGGCUGAGGCAGGGGGAUCGAGAGUUCAAAGCCAGCCUCAGCAAAAGCAAGGUGCUAAGCAACUCAGAGAGAUCCUGUCUCUA